This 89-nucleotide transfer RNA is filed under the name Chloroflexota bacterium. RNAcentral's name for it is "Chloroflexi bacterium tRNA-Ser". It matches the Rfam family "tRNA". From Rfam's summary of the family: Transfer RNA (tRNA) molecules are approximately 80 nucleotides in length. The record is from RNAcentral. Lineage: Bacteria; Bacillati; Chloroflexota.
GGAGAGGUGCUGGAGUGGCUUAACAGGCUCGCCUGGAAAGCGGGUAGAGGUAUCCCCUCUCGUGGGUUCGAAUCCCACCCUCUCCGCCA